UCCCUCUUAGCUCAGUGGUAGAGCGCGUCACUAGUAGUUGCUAUGACGAGGUCAGUCGUUCAAGUCGGCUAGAGGGAA
Molecule: transfer RNA, 78 nt
Filed under: Cylindrobasidium torrendii FP15055 ss-10
Lineage: Eukaryota; Fungi; Basidiomycota; Agaricomycetes; Agaricales; Physalacriaceae
Rfam family: tRNA
About the family: Transfer RNA (tRNA) molecules are approximately 80 nucleotides in length. Their secondary structure includes four short double-helical elements and three loops (D, anti-codon, and T loops). Further hydrogen bonds mediate the characteristic L-shaped molecular structure. tRNAs have two regions of fundamental functional importance: the anti-codon, which is responsible for specific mRNA codon recognition, and the 3' end, to which the tRNAs corresponding amino acid is attached (by aminoacyl-tRNA synthetases). tRNAs cope with the degeneracy of the genetic code in two manners: having more than one tRNA (with a specific anti-codon) for a particular amino acid; and 'wobble' base-pairing, i.e. permitting non-standard base-pairing at the 3rd anti-codon position.
Source: Rfam by way of RNAcentral